Molecule: non-coding RNA, 72 nt
Organism: Naganishia friedmannii
Lineage: Eukaryota; Fungi; Basidiomycota; Tremellomycetes; Filobasidiales; Filobasidiaceae
Source: the annotation of a GenBank genome assembly
GGUCCCUUGGUGCAGUGGUAGCAUAGCAGACUUCGAAUCUGUCGGUCGUCGGUUCGAAUCCGGCAGGGAUCU